AGAAUCAACGCUGGCGGCGUGCCUAACACAUGCAAGUCGCACGAGAAAGGGACUUCGGUCCUGAGUAAAGUGGCGCACGGGUGAGUAACACGUGAAUAAUCUACCUCCGAGUGGGGAAUAACUGAGAGAAAUCUUAGCUAAUACCGCAUAAUACCCACGGGUCAAAGCAGCAAUGCGCUUGGAGAGGAGUUCGCGGCCGAUUAGCUAGUUGGCGGGGUAAUGGCCACCAAGGCGAUGAUCGGUA
Molecule: ribosomal RNA, 244 nt
Filed under: uncultured bacterium
Lineage: Bacteria
Description: partial small subunit ribosomal RNA
Rfam family: Bacterial small subunit ribosomal RNA
Source: RNAcentral